Molecule: ribosomal RNA, 492 nt
Filed under: uncultured bacterium
Lineage: Bacteria
Description: partial 16S ribosomal RNA
Rfam family: Bacterial small subunit ribosomal RNA
Source: RNAcentral
AGUGAACGCUGGCGGUAGGCCUAACACAUGCAAGUCGAACGGCAGCACAGUAAGAGCUUGCUCUUACGGGAGGCGAGUGGAGGACGGGUGAGGAAUACAUCGGAAUCUACUUUUUCGUGGGGGAUAACGUAGGGAAACUUACGCUAAUACCGCAUACGACCUACGGGUGAAAGCAGGGGAUCUUCGGACCUUGCGCGAUUGAAUGAGCCGAUGUCGGAUUAGCUAGUUGGCGAGGUAAAGGCCCACCCAGGCGACGGUCCGUAGCUGGUCUGAGGGGAUGACCAGACACACGGGAACUGAGACACGGUCCCGACUCCUACGGGAGGCAGCCGUGGGGAAUAUUGGACAAUGGACGCAAGCCUGAUCCAGCCACACCGCGUGGUUGAAGAGGGCAUUCGGGUUGUAAAGCCCUUUUGUUGGGAAAGAAAAGCAGCAGGUUAAUACCCCGCUGUUCUGACGGUACCCAAAGAAUAAGUACCGGCUAACUUCGUG